GAUGAACGCUGGCGGCGUGCCUAAUACAUGCAAGUCGAGCGAACAGACGAGGAGCUUGCUCCUCUGACGUUAGCGGCGGACGGGUGAGUAACACGUGGAUAACCUACCUAUAAGACUGGGAUAACUUCGGGAAAACGGAUCUAAUACCGGAUAAUAUAUUGAACCGCAUGGUUCAAUAGUGAAAGACGGUUUUGCUGUCACUUAUAGAUGGAUCCGCGCCGCAUUAGCUAGUUGGUAAGGUAACGGCUUACCAAGGCAACGAUGCGUAGCCGACCUGAGAGGGUGAUCGGCCACACUGGAACGGAGACACGGUCCAGACUCCUACGGGAGGCAGCAGUAGGGAAUCUUCCGCAAUGGGCGAAAGCCUGACGGAGCAACGCCGCGUGAGUGAUGAAGGUCUUCGGAUCGUAAAACUCUGUUAUUAGGGAAGAACAAAUGUGUAAGUAACUAUGCACGUCUUGACGGUACCUAAUCAGAAAGCCACGGCUAACUACGUG
This 497-nucleotide ribosomal RNA is filed under the name uncultured bacterium. RNAcentral's name for it is "partial 16S ribosomal RNA". It matches the Rfam family "Bacterial small subunit ribosomal RNA", at positions 28 to 507 of the family's 1533-position model. The record is from RNAcentral.